This is a long non-coding RNA of Sapajus apella (tufted capuchin), 603 nucleotides long. RefSeq lists it as uncharacterized. The transcript has 4 exons. Lineage: Eukaryota; Metazoa; Chordata; Mammalia; Primates; Cebidae. The record is from RefSeq and is a predicted model, not a curated record.
GCCGAGUUCGCGCCAUUGUACUCUAGCCUGGCUACAGAAUGAGACUGUCUCAAACAACAACAACAACAAACCAAACACAAUAAAUAGCAAAGGGACCUUUUCUGACUUUUAGCUAAGUCUUAGUAUGUGUGUGUGUGUUGUUUCCUGGAGGUGAAUCCUAAUUUCUUGUUAUCUAACAAUGUGACUUCCAGGUACCAUUAUUGUCAGCUUUCUGCCUUCUUCACCAGAAACCACCUAAUGAGCCACAGCGAGUGAAGGUGAUAUCCUAGAUGAUGACACCUACUUGAAUAUAUCUCCCUGAAGCCCAGUCGCUCAAGUACAGAAGGUUGGCAUUGUAUCAACCCACCUGCUUCUGGAAGAGAGAGAGGAAAAAAAUCAGAAUCACUCAACCUGCAGAUUGCUGUCAGCUUGUGAUUAUGUGAAUGAAAUCCUGAAGACAUAUUCAGUGUUGUUGAACAGCUUCUGAGCACAUCCCUUGAAGUUAAAUGUCUCGACACACAGAUGAAGAGAGAGCCUGAAAGUGUACAUCUAGUGGUGCACCACCUUCUGGAGAAACCAAGGGCUUUGUUACAGUAAACUGGUCCAGUGUGAUAUUACAAGUAU